GACAGAGGCCUCAAGCGUUAGGCGGAAUCACUGGGCUUAAAGCGUGUGUAGGCGGAUCGUUAAGUGUCUUGUGAAAUCCCACGGCUCACCCGUGGAACGGCUGGGCAUACUGGCGAUCUUGGGCCAACUAGGGGCAACUGGAACAAGCGGUGGAGCGGUGAAAUGCGUAGAUAUCGCUUGGAACGCCGAAGGUGAAAACAGGUUGCUGGGGUUGUGCCGACGCUGAGACACGAAAGCCCAGGGGAGCAAAACGGG
RNAcentral lists this ribosomal RNA (255 nucleotides) under uncultured bacterium. RNAcentral describes it as "partial 16S ribosomal RNA". It matches the Rfam family "Bacterial small subunit ribosomal RNA", at positions 524 to 777 of the family's 1533-position model. The record is from RNAcentral.